RNAcentral lists this ribosomal RNA (405 nucleotides) under uncultured bacterium. Its description in RNAcentral is "partial 16S ribosomal RNA". It matches the Rfam family "Bacterial small subunit ribosomal RNA", at positions 28 to 526 of the family's 1533-position model. The record is from RNAcentral.
GAUGAACGCUGGCGGCGUGCCUAAUACAUGCAAGUCGAGCGCAGCGAGGGCGGGUGCGUAAGACGUAGAUAACCUGCUAUAAGAACGAGAUAACUUCGGGAAACAGGUGCUAAAGCGGCUAAUUAGCUGUGGAUCCUCGCUGCAUUCGCUAGUGGGUAAGGUAACGCCUUACCAAGGCAACGCUGCAUAGCCGACCUGAGAGGGUGAUCGGCCACACUGGAAAUGAGACACGGUCCAGACUCCUACGGGAGGCAGCAGUAGGGAAUCUUCCGCAAGGGGCGAAAGCCUGACGGAGCAACGCCGCGUGAGGGAGGAAGGUUUGCGGAUCGUAAAACUCUGUUAUUAGGGAAGCGGUACCUAAUCAGAAAGCCACGGCUAACUACGUGCCAGCAGCCGCGGUAAUAC